This 756-nucleotide ribosomal RNA is filed under the name uncultured Ascomycota. RNAcentral describes it as "LSU rRNA". It matches the Rfam family "Eukaryotic large subunit ribosomal RNA", at positions 465 to 1236 of the family's 3401-position model. The record is from RNAcentral. Lineage: Eukaryota; Fungi; Ascomycota.
CUUUUGCCCGGUGCACUCUUCUGCUGUCAGGCCAGCAUCAGUUCGGGCGGUCGGAUAAAGGCUUCGGGAAUGUAGCUCCUCUCGAGGAGUGUUAUAGCCCGUUGCGAAAUGCGGCCAGCCUGAACUGAGGUCCGCGCUUCGGCUAGGAUGCUGGCGUAAUGGUUGUAAGCGGCCCGUCUUGAAACACGGACCAAGGAGUCUAACAUCUGUGCGAGUGUUUGGGUGUCAAACCCGUACGCGUAAUGAAAGUGAACGGAGGCGGGAACCCCUCGGGGUGCACCGUCGACCGAUCCUGAUGUCUUCGGAUGGAUUUGAGUAAGAGCAUAGCUGUUGGGACCCGAAAGAUGGUGAACUAUGCCUGAAUAGGGUGAAGCCAGAGGAAACUCUGGUGGAGGCUCGCAGCGGUUCUGACGUGCAAAUCGAUCGUCAAAUUUGGGCAUAGGGGCGAAAGACUAAUCGAACUAUCUAGUAGCUGGUUCCUGCCGAAGUUUCCCUCAGGAUAGCAGUAACGCUUUCAGUUUUAUGAGGUAAAGCGAAUGAUUAGAGGCCUGGGGGUUGAAACAACCUUCACCUAUUCUCAAACUUUAAAUAUGUAAGAAGUCCUUGUUGCUUAGUUGAACGUGGACAUUUGAAUGCAUCGUUACUAGUGGGCCAUUUUUGGUAAGCAGAACUGGCGAUGCGGGAUGAACCGAACGCGGAGUUAAGGUGCCGGAAUGCACGCUCAUCAGACACCACAAAAGGUGUUAGUUCAUCUAG